AUUAGACACUAACACCAGUAUUGGUUUUAGCUCUAUUUUUUGUACCACCAUAUGGAUUUGUACAUUUUCCCCCAAACCUGGUCACCUAUUGCCAAAGACUGGGACUUUUUACAUCCCAUGGAGAAGUUUCCCAGCAUGAUUGAUCACCCACUGGAAAACUCUAAUAUUGUACAGUGGGCUCUUGAAAGUGAAGCAAAGAUUAUUCUUGGUGAAGGAGGAAUUGGACAAGCCCUGAAGAUAAAAUUUUGCCUGGAGAAGUGGUAAUAUGUAUAACUUGAUAAUAUGAGAGUCAGAGGACAGUAAUCUCACACGUUUUAGUGGCAUUAAUUAGGGCAGGCAUAGGAAGAUAGGAAAGACUGACUUGGAGGCUGUUAAAGUAUUUCAUGAAUGAAGUAAAGAAGAUUGCAGGGGGCCCCUUAAAUAACAGCAAUAGGAAGAGAUAGGAAAGAAUGUGAGGCAUUUUGAAAUAAGUAGCAAAACUUAUUGACUCGCUCACUGGAUAUGGGAAAUGGAGGAGAUGUUUGAAGAUAACUUCAGGUUUUUAAGACUAAUCAGAGAAAUAAUGUCACUAACAGACAGUGAAAUUGAGUUUAUUUGAGUUUUCUAAACAAGUGAGUUAAGUUUAGAAAGUGCCUUACUUAAAGCAUAAGUAAGAUAUAUGAUUGGUAUUUGAAUAUACUGGGACUGAAGCUUGUUGAUAAGGAUAGUACAAAGCCUAGUUGACCAUUCUGUGGAACCAAUAUAAAUUCCCUAUGGAGUCAAUAUUAUCCAAAAGGAGGACUAUUUUCCACUUGUAUGGAAGGAAAACAAAUACAAUUUUUAAACGUUUGAAUGAAUAAUAGAGAAGAAGCAAUGGAAUGGAGGUUAUUUUUACUCCAACUACCUAAACUCCAGGUUUUCUUAGAUCUUGGGAAGAAACUACCCCUUGUCCUGUUAAUGGUUGUGCCCUACAGAAAGUUGCCAAUCUACCUAAUGAAGAAACUGCUUACUACUCACUUCUUUGCAUCAACACCAUUCUAAAUAUGCCGGUUUUGAAAUGUGCUCAGGGAACCCAUACCAUCUGAUAUGAAUAGCCUUGAGGAACCAUAUGUAAUUCAGGGAAUUUGAUUGGUUCAUGAAGAAAGACCACAUCUACCACAUAGUUGGCUCCAAUUAAGUCUUUUUUAUUUAAAGGAGAAGAAAAUGUUAAAAGCAAAAAUAAGACUUCUUAUAGAGAACCAAAGAUAUUUUGAAGGAGUGAUAAAAAUGACCAUUGGUUAAAAAAUAUAAUAGGUGAUUUUAAUAUCAGUGAUCAGGGACAAAAAUAUAAAUAAUGAUUUGGAACAGCAAAGGGAGAAACACUAAGAAAAACACAAGGAAAUGGAGUGAAAUGAUCAGAAGCAAAACAUAAUUUGUGGAAAAUGGAGUAAGUGCAGGAGCAAAAGGAGUAAAUGUAAGAGAAACCCUAUUCAAAGAAAUAAUAGAAGAAAACUCAUUUGAGCUGAAGGAAAACUUGAGUUAUCAAAAUGAAAGUCCAUAGCAAUGACUGAGUAGAAUAAGUAAAUUACAUCUUUGCUCGUGUAAAUUUAUAUACAUAUGCUAAAUAUAUAGACAUAUCUAGGCAAAAUAUCUGUACACUAAUGGUGAAGAGAAAAUGUUAUACCUUUAUAACAUUUGUUAUAAAAUUGUAUAGAGCUGAUUAUUUACAAAAGAAAGAGCAUCACAGCAGCAUAGAAUUCCUGACUUGCAAUAUUGGAAAACAAGACAGUGCAACUAUGUUUAUAAAUCUUAGAGGAAAAGACUGCAAUUUAAGGAUCCUAUAUUUAGCCAAAAUAUCAUUUAUAGAGGAGGGCAAAACAAAGACUUUUUUAAAACAAUUAAGACUAUGAAUAUACCCAUUCAUUCUUCCUGGAGGAAUUACUUGAAGAAGUAUUAUAGCUAAAGGAAAAUUAAAACAGAUAUCCAAAGAGGAUAAAACAUUGUAUAAGAAUCAGUGGAAGGUAGUCUAUCUGAAAAUUUAUAGAUAAAUUUAAAGCAGUGAUAACUUUAAUUGUGAUGUGUGCUAAGGAAGAGUUCUCAAAAUAUGUUACAUACAAUAAGAAAUAAAAAAUAUGGCAUGGAA
RNAcentral lists this long non-coding RNA (2101 nucleotides) under Homo sapiens (human). RNAcentral describes it as "non-protein coding lnc-TTC6-2:1". Lineage: Eukaryota; Metazoa; Chordata; Mammalia; Primates; Hominidae. The record is from RNAcentral.